UUAUCAACAGUAUCAAUGGAUAUG
This 24-nucleotide microRNA is filed under the name Amborella trichopoda. RNAcentral's name for it is "atr-miR8594.1". The record is from miRBase by way of RNAcentral. Lineage: Eukaryota; Viridiplantae; Streptophyta; Magnoliopsida; Amborellales; Amborellaceae.